GAUGAAGAACGCAGUGAAAUGCGAUACGUAAUGUGAAUUGCAGAAUUCAGUGAAUCAUCGAGUCUUUGAACGCACAUUGCGCCCUCUGGUAUUCCGGAGGGCAUGCCUGUCCGAGCGUCAUUGCUGCCCUCAAGCACGGCUUGUGUGUUGGGCUCCGUCCCCCGAUCCCGGGGGACGGGCCCGAAAGGCAGCGGCGGCACCGCGUCCGGUCCUCGAGCGUAUGGGGCUUUGUCACCCGCUCUGUAGGCCCGGCCGGCGCUUGCCGAUCAACCAAAUUUUUAUCCAGGUUGAACUCGGACCAGGUAGGGAUACCCGCUGAACUUAAGCAUAUCAAUAAGCGGAGGA
RNAcentral lists this unclassified non-coding RNA (345 nucleotides) under soil metagenome. Its description in RNAcentral is "partial contains 5.8S ribosomal RNA, internal transcribed spacer 2, and large subunit ribosomal RNA". The stretch from base 1 to 120 matches the Rfam family "5.8S ribosomal RNA", at positions 35 to 154 of the family's 154-position model. The record is from RNAcentral.